RNAcentral lists this ribosomal RNA (406 nucleotides) under uncultured bacterium. RNAcentral's name for it is "partial 16S ribosomal RNA". It matches the Rfam family "Bacterial small subunit ribosomal RNA", at positions 30 to 526 of the family's 1533-position model. The record is from RNAcentral.
AUUGAACGCUGGCGGCAGGCCUAACACAUGCAAGUCGAACGAGUGGCGCACGGGUGAGUAAUGUAGGGGACACUGCCUGAUGGAGGGGGAUAACUACUGGAAACGGUAGCUAAUACCGUAUACUCUCAGAUGUGCCCAGAUGGGAUUAGCUAGUGGGUGGGGUAACGGCUCACCAAGGCGACGAUCCCUAGCUGGUCUGAGAGGAUGACCAGCCACACUGGGACUGAGACACGGUCCAGACUCCUACGGGAGGCAGCAGUGGGGAAUAUUGCACAAUGGGCGCAAGCCUGAUACAGCCAUGCCGCGUGUAUGAAGAAGGCCUUCGGGUUGUAAAGUACUUUCAGCGGGGAGGCGUUACCCGCAGAAGAAGCACCGGCUAACUCCGUGCCAGCAGCCGCGGUAAUUC